UACGUAGGGUGCGAGCGUUGUCCGGAAUUAUUGGGCGUAAAGAGCUCGUAGGCGGUGUGUCACGUCGGCCGUGAAAACCUGCAGCUUAACUGUGGGCGUGCGGUCGAUACGGGCAUCACUAGAGUUCGGCAGGGGAGACUGGAAUUCCUGGUGUAGCGGUGAAAUGCGCAGAUAUCAGGAGGAACACCGGUGGCGAAGGCGGGUCUCUGGGCCGAUACUGACGCUGAGGAGCGAAAGCAUGGGUAGCGAACAGG
RNAcentral lists this ribosomal RNA (254 nucleotides) under uncultured bacterium. RNAcentral's name for it is "partial 16S ribosomal RNA". It matches the Rfam family "Bacterial small subunit ribosomal RNA", at positions 524 to 776 of the family's 1533-position model. The record is from RNAcentral.